This is an RNA transcript of Chelonia mydas (Green sea turtle), 6317 nucleotides long. It is a transcript of the gene named steroid 5 alpha-reductase 1, with no coding region annotated. The transcript has 4 exons. The record is from RefSeq and is a predicted model, not a curated record. Lineage: Eukaryota; Metazoa; Chordata; Testudines; Cheloniidae.
UUGGACGCUGCAGGAGCUGCCGUCGCUGCUGGUCCCGCUGGGGCUGAGCCUCUUCAGCGGCGCGGCCCGCCUGUCCGAGUGGCCGAACCGGAUACUGCUGGCGCUGUUCAUCGUGCACUACGCGCACAGUGGGUCCAGCCUACAUUGAUGAUGGCUGUGAAGAACAUGCUGUUUCUUCAGAUGAAAUCCUUUCGCCAAAUAAAAAAACAGUGAUAACCUGCUGCUGCAAAACAUACCAGUGUGAUUACCUUCUUCCAAUGCUACCCUGUGGACUGUUGAUGCUUUCACUCAGCAGUACUGCGUAGACACGGGUCCUGAUUUCUGCCAAAAUCGCAAUGGAAAAUAUGCAAUAUCAUCAAGGCAACAUAAGAACAAAACACGGAAACUCUGUGAUACAGUCUUCAAUCAGGUGUCCCCGAAUGAUGCAACAAUUGAAAGGCCCUGGCUCAUAUGCACACCAUUGACUGGCUGUGUCUUCUGUUUUGUGUGCAAAUUGUUUUCUGUGAAUAAUACAUCUGCACUAGCCAAGAGAGGAUUUGAUUCAUGGAAUCAAAUUGGCAGACUUGGUGACGAUGAAAGUUCUACUGAGCACUAACCAGCUCUCACCACUUACAUAAUGCGUUUAUCAAAGACUCAAACCUUGAUAAACAUAUAGCAGAUGGAUGUAUUAAAGAAGGAAAUUACUGGACACAAGUGUUGAAGUGAGUCGUAUCAGCAAUAAAAUUUUUGACAACAUGAGGUCUGGCACUGAGAAGGACUAAUGAAACCUUUGGGAGUCUUAAUAAUGGCAAUUUCCUUGGCUGCUUAGAGUUCUUAGCAGAAUACGACCCUUUCCUGAUCUGCCACAUCAACAAGUAUGGGAAUGCUUGUCAUGGCACAACAUCAAAUCUAUCCUCAACAAUCUGUGAAGAGUUCAUCAAAUUCAUGGCUGACAAGGUAAAGCACGAUAUUGUGGAUGAGCUAAAACUGGCUAAGUACUUUACCUUCAGCGUUGAUUCCACGCCAUACUGAUAAACUGACGUUUACUGUGAGCUACGUGCUGAAUAACUGUACACCUGUGGAACACUUCUUGAAUUUUGUUUGUUCAUUUAUUGUUAUCAAGGAAACCCUAAGUGAUGAACUAAAUAUCUGUGUAAAGGACAGCAGAGGUCAAACAUAUGAUAAUGCUAGUAACAUGUCUAGCACUUUUUCUGGUGUGCAAGUUCAGGUAAUUGCAGUUAAUGAGAAAGCAGUGUACAUCCAAUGUAUGACCCGAGUGCGUAUACCCGAGUCUACAUCCAGUGCAUGACCUAUGUGGUGUUGCUGCUGCAGAAUCAUGCAUUCAUGCAAUCAGUUUUUCAAUUUGUCCAAAAACUGCAUAUGUUUUUCACAGGAUCAACUUAUUGCUGGGGCCUCUUGUGAGAUUCUCUGAAUGAGGAGCCAUCUGUGGCCAGUAAGAGAGAACUUUUCCCAAGGUGCCUCAGUGACACAAGGUGAUCAGCUCUAACAGAUGCACUUUGCAGUUUUAUCAUUCAACUACAAAAGCUACAAAUCUGUGCUUCAGGCUCUUGGUGCAGACCCUGCAGAAGAGUGACACACAAGCAGAGGCAAACUCAUGUGUUGAAACCAUGGAUUGGUUGGAGAUAGCAUUUAUGACAACUUUUUGGAGUAGUACCCACAAGAUAGACGGCAGGCUGAUAGUGCAGGCUUUGAGCCUGCACCAGACGGGGUCGAGGACCAUGAGGGCCAGCAGCUAAUGGUGAGGGCUGCCACUCCGUGGCAGACUGCCUGGACUGAGGAGCUACAAGCGACAGCUUCCUUUGACGACUUCGACCUCCUCGUAGACCGGCUCACCCAAGAACUGUCUGCGGAAACCGCUGCCAGGAGAAGUUUGAACCAGGAGAACGCCCCGCCUGCCCACAGAACGUCUGCUCCAAACCUCAACACCACCACCAGGGGAGCCAGAAGUAGAGACACCAGACACCGCUACGAUCCAGCAGCGGCUUCAGGGAUCCAAAAGCUGUACCGGGCAAACCGCUCAAAAGCCAUGAGGGAGAUCCUAGAUGGGCCCUCGCCCUACUGCACGAACCCAUCUGAGCAUCUCUACAGCUACUUCAAGGAUGUAUUCAACGGCAUAGCCCAGAAUGAUGCGCAGUGCCCAGAGUGCCUCCGCCCCCUGCCCCGUGUCGACGCAGCAGGUGUCCUGGAAACUGACUUUACGCCCAAGGAAGUGAUGGCUAGACUUUCAAAAACAAAAACACAGCUCCUGGGAAAGACGGCAUCCCCUAAAGCCUCCUAAAGCUGAAUAAUUUUAGCUGACUCACUUGUCAGCCAUCUCAACGGAAGAAUUCGUGCAUAUUCAAAAAUAAACAGCCAUUUGUUUUUUAAAAGGUGACUUUGACAGUACUGUUGUUAGCCUCUCAGAAGUUUAAUUGAAUUCUAAUCAGAGGACCUCAAUAAAGAGAUAUUUGAAGAAUGGGUACAAUGGUGCUCACUUAUAAAGCAGGUUUCAGAGUAGUAGCCGUGUUAGUCUGUAUUCGCAAAAAGAAAAGGAGUACUUGUGGCAUCUUAGAGACUAACAAAUUUAUUUGAGCAUAAGCUUUUGUGAGCUACAGCUCACUUCAUCGGAUGCUUAUAAAGCAGUUUGCCUCCCAGCUGUUAUCACAAGCUCUGCCUACACCACUGCAAAUGCUGAUAAUCAACAUGCAUAAUUUGCAAACAGCAUUUCCAAAUGUCUUUACUGCACAACGCAUUUACCUGACGCUACCAGUCUCAAAGUGCAGUGGUGAAAGGUCUUUUUUCACAUUUAAAAAGGAUAAAAAGUUCUUUAUGUGCUACAACAGUUCAAGAAAGACUUAACAGUCUCAGGCCUGGUCUACGCUACGCAGUUUUGUUGACGAAACACGGGAGGCGUACAAACGGCAAUGCUCCUUCUGCGGACAAAACUCUCCUGCUUUGCCACCAGAAUAAAACCACCUCGAUGAGAGGUAUAGAGCUUUUUGAGGCAAAUUCAUAUUGACAGAGUGUGAGUGUAGACCCCACGCUUGGUUAUGUCACCGUAAAUGGCCUUCAGGAGAUGUCCCACAAUGCCCAUCGUAACCACUCUGAGUCAGCAGUUUGAACUCAGCUGCGCUGCACUAAGGCACACAGGCAUCUGCCCCUCCCCCUUGAAAGCACUGGGAAUUUUUGAAAUUCCACUUUGUUUGCUUGGUGUGGACAUUGCAUCUUCCCAGCUGACUAUGGUGACUCCAUGCAGCUUCUGCUUGGAGCACACCAAAGCUGUGCUGGAUCUGCUGAGUAUGUGGGGAGAGGAGGCUGCACAGUCCCAGCUCCACUCCAGCCACAGGAACUUCGAUGCCUACAGGCAAUUUCUCAUGACUUGUUGGAAAAGGGCUACAAACAGGACAUGCAGCAGUGCCAUGCGAAGAUAAAGGAGCUGAGACAGGCGUACCAGAAGGCAAGGGAGGCAAACCAUCACUCUGUUCCUGCACUGAAGACCUGCUGCUUCUACAAGGAGCUGGAUGCCAUCCUUGGCAGCAACCCAGCCUCCACUGCCACAAGCCCUGUGGAUACUUCGGUGGGGCUGGAGGCAGUGGACUUAACACCAAGGACAAAGUCAUGGAUGAGGAGGUCAAUUUGGAGGAUGAUGUGGAGUACACAGCAGGGUUGUCUGGUGGCACAGCAAGUCAGGAACUGUUUUCCACACCAAAGGGGUCUAGCAAGUCCCAGCAGUCUGUCUCUGACACGCAUAAUGCAGGAGAGGAGAGCCUUGAUGUGGCCUUUAGGGCAACCCCUUACACACUGGCUUGUGUACAUUCCAGAUAAAGAAGCAACCAAGGCAGAGCAAGGAGGACAUUUCAGAGAGGUGCUCCAAUCUUCAGAGGCCAUGGGGGAAGAAUCAAGGAAGUGGAGAGAGACCCUCAAGGAAAAAUUUAAAAUAGAAAGACGGGACAGAAAGGAGAGUGAGGAGUGAAUUGUAAAGGACCAGGAGUAGAUGAUUAAAGUGAUGGAGGCACAAACAGAGAUAUUGUAGUCCCUAAUAAUGCUCCAGGCUGAACACAUGCAUGCUUGCCGCUUCCCCACCGCAGCUGAUACAGAAUGGCUUUCCGUGCCCUCCCCAAACUCCUCCCACACAUUCCAUCUCCCUAUCACAUUCACUUCACCCCUUCAUUCAGCUUCCAAAAUGAUAGCUGGACUUACACAUAACAUUGCAGGGCAGCGUAGGCUCUCAUAGCUAUGUCCUUUCCCACGAAGCCUUUUGUGGGUGGUGGUAAUUGGUAUUUAAUGUUAUCAGAUUUGCCCGUUACUUUGGGGUAUGCUCAUUUAUUAGGAUUACUCUUCUGGGGGUUGUUUCUGUAAUUCUAUUAAUGUACUGCUUGUGUCACUUGUGUUUUCAUGUGGAGCUCUGCUCCUCCCUUCUGUAAGUCUCCUCUCAAUGGAGCUAUCCUGCAGGACCUAGGUUCCCCAGGGCUGGGUUCUUUCAGCCCCAGAACCAGAUGAACGAAGGCGCACGCCCACAUAUUAACAGAGCAAGUCUGGGUGGACCAGGUCAGUCAGCACUUUCCAGCAGACCCCUUAUAUGUACCUGGGCUCAAUAGGCUGGGCCAAGCAGCACUUUCAAGCUGCCACCCUUACGUGCCACAAGUACCACACCGGAACAGAGUAAGCCUGAGCAGGCUGGGUUGAACAGCACUUCCAGGCUGCCACCCUUAUAUGCCCCUGUACUCAGCGGACUGGGUCUAGCAGCACUUUCAAGCUGCCACCCUCGUAUGCCCCUGGACUCAGUAGUCUGGGUCUAGCAGCGCUUUCAAGCUGCCACCCUCGUAUGUCACAGUUUUAGCACAUCCCUAUCACCUCUUUCACGUCACAGUUAUGCUGGUAGUACCCCCUUGAUGAGCAAACCCCACAGUAUUUUUGGGCUCUACAGGGAUCUUUAGCUUAGGUAAGAGAAGCGUUACUGCAGAGUAAAUGGGGAACCUAAAAACACAAAAGAGUGAAGUUUAGAGAGAGAGAGAGAGGGAAGCAACCAGCUUAACCAUAAAAGUUAUUUAUUGGAUAAUAGUGAUAACUACACAAGGAGAGCCUAAACCAAUGUAGCAGUUACAUUAUUAAAGGUUAAUAGCUGAGGUAGAAAGGAAAACAGAGAGAGAAAAAGAGGGGGAUCUCACCACUUCCAUGAAGCUUGAGCUGGUCGGGGUUCCCAGGUGAUGGUAGUAGCUCAGGGUCCUGAGUGCUGGAGACAGGCAGAGCCCCCAGCAUGAUCAGUCAGGAGAAGAUGGAGUCCCGGUGGAACUGAUGCAUAGUUUCGAUCCAAGCAUCAGAACACUUACUGAGUGUGAGUAGGGGGUUUUGUAGGGAGAAUACAAUGGUUCAAGGGAGAACACUAGAUUUGUUUAUGGGUAAACUGGUGACUCAAGAGUUUUCUUUAGGCUAGACAAUAGGAGCUGAUCAUUCUUGGAUAUGGAUGAUGUUCCUUCCAGGGAGCUCACAAUACAAUUAGCUUGCUUCAGUAUUUUGAGUAUCAAUCAAAGAUUCAUUACUAGAAUUGGUCUGAUAACUGCUGAGCUGGGGGUGUGCGGGCAUAGGUUCAUUAACAUGUGACAAUCUCCCAUGAUGCAGUGCUUCCCUGCUUUUCUGGUCCCAGAGUUCAGUGCAGUUCUCCAUUCUGUAUGCAAGUGCUCCCCCACGUUCUUGGACGUCUGGGUGAGGAGGCUAUGGAACUUGGGGAGGAGGGAGGUUGGUUACAUAGGGGCUGCAGUGGCGCUCUGUGCCUUUCCUGCACCUCAACCAUACACUGGAGCAUAUCAGUUUGAUUCUCCAGUAGCCUCAGCAUUGUAUCCUGCUUCCUUUUUUUGGAGACCCCAGGGCAUGGCCACUAGUUAAGUCGAGGGGAUGGAAGGCCAUAAGGGUCGAGGAGGUCUCCCUGCUGAAGGCCUAAGGGCUUCUUCUCAACCCCCCUUAAUAGAAUUCAGGCCUGGCUGGUUUGAGUAAGCUCUUUUGCUCUUAAAACAAUAUUGCAGCCGCAGAUAAUGCCUUAUAGUGUAAGGUUUGCUGACGCCAAGUUAAAGAUAAUAGGAGAGACAACUACAAGGCCAGACAGAAUGUGCUGGUUGUUUAAGUUGCUAGGAAUGCUUGUUAGAGGUUGCAGGAAAUAAACAUUGUUGUAACCCAUAUAAGGAAGGUAGAGUAUUUGUGCAAAUUUUGAUUGGCUAAUGUGUAGUGCAGUAGCAUUAAGGAAUAUAAAAGUGUGUGUAAUGACCUGCUCUGAUGUGCAGGAUUUGAGAUUCUAUUCUCCCUAUACCUUGUUUGCAGCUGCAAAUAAACUUUUCUGCUUCUCC